AAAUCAAUUAAAAUCUACGCUGUGCCUAAUCGUCAGUUCUUGAAGAGUUAUAUAUUUAUCUUUUAUUCGAUUUGAAGUGGCGCUGUAGAAGAUUUAUCUUUAAGAUGGCAUUCUAAUUACCCAAUACUAGAACAAAUUAUAAUAACCGGUGAUUAGGGUGUCUAUGAUCAUACCACACUCAUUUGUAUUACUUUACAUCCAUAUAGUAAUGAGUAUAGUAACCAUCUCCCAAC
RNAcentral lists this long non-coding RNA (233 nucleotides) under Mytilus galloprovincialis (Mediterranean mussel). The record is from RNAcentral. Lineage: Eukaryota; Metazoa; Mollusca; Bivalvia; Mytilida; Mytilidae.